Long non-coding RNA from Oxyura jamaicensis (ruddy duck), 1279 nucleotides. RefSeq lists it as uncharacterized. The record is from RefSeq and is a predicted model, not a curated record. The transcript has 3 exons. NCBI's taxonomy places the organism in Eukaryota, Metazoa, Chordata, Aves, Anseriformes, Anatidae.
UUAGGACAUUAUUUAACAUACAUUAAUUGUACCAAUAUAGACAUGGCCUGCAUCCUUUCAGUAUUUGUGUUUUAACUGGGUUUUGGACAUUUAAUCAUCUUUUUUCCAAAUGGUACCGAUUAUUACUAAGUCGGUGUACAAAUAAUGAAUAUAGAGAUGUGAAUUGCAACUGGAGCUCUCAGGUGAUCAAUUUGCAUGACUGGUGUUUCCUGGUAAUAUUCCAAUUUUAUUACUAUUUGUCUCUUUCUCUAAAAUGUAUGCAAGGCCUUUACUAAAAAUGAUUCUGACAUCCUACAGGCAUUUUAUAUUUGGAUUGGAAAAAACUGUGAUGACAACUUCAUAAAAGAUGUCCUUGGAUACCCAAACUAUGCGUCAGUACCACAGAAAAUGACACAACUCCCUGAGGUAGUUGCACUUACUUCAGAAAGGACGUGGUCUUUCAUAGCCUGGCUGAGGGAACAACAGACCUUUCAGCCCAGUUCUUCAAGUAAUAAAAGAUGAAACUCCUGCCAAGACAGAGUUUUUUCCGCAUUUAAUUGAAGAUCGGAGAGAAGCAGCUUUCUCUUAUUAUUAAUUCUUACUUCAUAUUCAACAGCAGAUUUGUAGAUGAGCAAGGAGUAAACUAGAAGAAAAAUCCGGACUCCAGAUAGAAGCAUUGGCUGAGAAAAGUAUAUAGAAAGUUACAAAAGUGGAUGUUUGUUCAUCACAAUGUACAGUAAUCGACACUGAUUUGGAAACUUUACAGCUAAAGGAGGAGAUGUAUACAUUUCCAGAAGAGUUUUGCACAUUUAUUUCAGUCUAAAAGUGCUAGGAAUGAUGAAGCUGUUUUCAGUAGUAAACUAAAUUGGUUUAUCCACGUGCGGCAGCAUGGUGCUCUGUUUAUUGCAAGCUGGUGAUUCUAUGUAGCUAUGUGGGAUGAUAUUUCUUAAUGAAAUAUACAAUUAGGUAAAGCCUUUUUUUCUUACGUUUAUUAUGGUAGCCCUUCAAAAUUCAAAUUCUUAACAGAGAUGUCAAAGGGCAGUGCUGUAUGUUGGUUGUUUAUAUGAAUUUCUUCUUAAAAGAAACUAUUCAUUCCCUUUGAAAGUUGUAGAAUUUCACUAAAGUAAAUGAAUUGUGGAAAUAAAAUAUAUAAUGUACAUAAGUAUUACAUUUGUAAAGAAAAUGUAAAAAUGUAACUAAAAAAAAGACUUAGCUCAGUGUGCUGAAUUGUUGAGUGCUCAAUGAUGAAUUGUUUCAGUCCCAAGCUAGACAGUGAAGUUGACUAUUAUAACAUGCUUAA